AGAGUUUGAUCCUGGCUCAGGACGAACGCUGGCGGCGUGCUUAACACAUGCAAGUCGAACGGAAAGGCCUCUUCGGAGGUACUCGAGUGGCGAACGGGUGAGUAACACGUGGGUGAUCUGCCCUGCACUCUGGGAUAAGCCUGGGAAACUGGGUCUAAUACCGGAUAGGACCAUGCUUUAGUGUGUGUGGUGGAAAGUUUUUUCGGUGUAGGAUGAGCCCGCGGCCUAUCAGCUUGUUGGUGGGGUAAUGGCCUACCAAGGCGGCGACGGGUAGCCGGACUGAGAGGUUGGUCGGCCACAUUGGGACUGAGAUACGGCCCAGACUCCUACGGGAGGCAGCAGUGGGGAAUAUUGCACAAUGGGCGCAAGCCUGAUGCAGCGACGCCGCGUGGGGGAUGACGGCCUUCGGGUUGUAAACUCCUUUCGCCAGGGACGAAGCGGUUUGUGACGGUACCUGGAGAAGAAGCACCGGCUAACUACGUGCCAGCAGCCGCGGUAAUACGUAGGGUGCAAGCGUUGUCCGGAAUUACUGGGCGUAAAGAGCUCGUAGGUGGUUUGUCACGUCGUCUGUGAAAUUCCACAGCUUAACUGUGGGCGUGCAGGCGAUACGGGCUGACUUGAGUACUGUAGGGGUAACUGGAAUUCCUGGUGUAGCGGUGAAAUGCGCAGAUAUCAGGAGGAACACCGAUGGCGAAGGCAGGUUACUGGGCAGUUACUGACGCUGAGGAGCGAAAGCAUGGGUAGCAAACAGGAUUAGAUACCCUGGUAGUCCAUGCCGUAAACGGUGGGCGCUAGGUGUAGGGACCUUUUGGGGUUUCUGUGCCGUAGCUAACGCAUUAAGCGCCCCGCCUGGGGAGUACGGCCGCAAGGCUAAAACUCAAAGGAAUUGACGG
Molecule: ribosomal RNA, 893 nt
Filed under: uncultured Actinomycetes bacterium
Lineage: Bacteria; Bacillati; Actinomycetota; Actinomycetes
Description: SSU rRNA
Rfam family: Bacterial small subunit ribosomal RNA
Source: RNAcentral